AUGGCCGAGUGGUCUAAGGCGCCAGACUCAAGUUCUGGUCCUCUUACGAGGGCGUGGGUUCAAACCCCACUUCUGACAUUCUUAUUUUUUAUUCCCUUUUUUUGGCUUUCUUACGAGGGCGUGGGUUCAAACCCCACUUCUGACAUUCUUAUUUUUUAUUCCCUUUUUUUGGCUUUAUAA
This 180-nucleotide ribosomal RNA is filed under the name Triticum aestivum (bread wheat). RNAcentral's name for it is "partial small subunit ribosomal RNA". The stretch from base 1 to 78 matches the Rfam family "tRNA". Lineage: Eukaryota; Viridiplantae; Streptophyta; Magnoliopsida; Poales; Poaceae. The record is from RNAcentral.